UCAUGAGGCAAGAGCUGCGGGUCCAGGAUCCAGGACCAAGAGGACUUGCCCAGCACCUCCAGAGGCAGCAAGAAAACAGCCAGCUCCAGGGACUCAGCAGGGAAACUCAAGAUUAUAGUAAAUGAAUGACAGCAGUUCAAGAAUCGCUUCCUCCUGUGGUACCUUCCGGAGGACGAAGGUAAAAAUCACCCAGAUACAGGGGUGAUUGAGGAGGUAUUCAGAGCCUCAGCAUUAGUGGCGACCACAGAGGAGUUGAGGACUUAAGAUCUUACGGGAAAGAUAAGAUUUGUCAUCGCUUCCCAUUUUCAAGUGCUUCUGAGUACCAUGUGCAUUGGGGAACUGAAAAAGGAGCCUGUCUGUACUUGAGAGCGGGCCCCUCCAACACUGCGGUCAGCUCACACGUGGUCUGCAGUGUUCAUCUUUCGAUGGAAAUGUGGCUGGUCUCUCCGGAGGUUGGGAGGCAAGACGCUGGCCCUUCCGGGCUGGAAGGGUGUCAAGAUCAGCUCUUCCUUGUGCAUGACUUGCAGCAUUGUUUGCCGUAAAAUUUGUGGUUGCAGACACCAUGCUGAGGAACAAGAUGACACCAGCCGAAGAAAUCUACACAGGAUGGAUCCUCUAAGAUAAGAAAGGAGAAAGAGCAGAGGAGAGAAAAUUGAUGCCUGGAGCUAAGGCUACAAGAAGGAGAUAAACAACAACAUCAAUUUAGAGACAGGAAGUGGUCUGGACAGUGAAGAGGAAGUGAGUAACAGGCCUGAACCUGAUUCACCACAAAUUGGAAAACCUGGGGAGCUGGACAAAAGUUUGUAUUACAGGCUCGUAGCACUGGAGGUUUCUGCCGGAGCAGACAACUGGAGGAAGGCCGGCCCUGCUGAACACAGUGGACUGAUCGGGUCUGGACCCCUCCUCCACAGGUCACCGUGCACUGCAGAAAAGGGAAAAGAGGAAGGAGUCAGGAACAAUCGGGAUGGUGUCCUGCCUGAUGUCAGUGACAUCAAAUAAAAGGAAUCCCCAUGCUUCAUGACAUUGCCAAGAUGCCUGUCCAUAAAAUAGGGAUUGUCCAGAGCCAGGCACAAUGUGCUCGUGGCCCACUGAGUCUCUUCUAACACGUGGGAGCCAUGUGAUCUGAUUAGAAGGCUCUUAAGCAAAUGCAAUCUAUCUCCCCCAAGAGUGUGUGUCUCCUAGUUAAAUGACUCAUAAAGAAGAGAGCUUCCAGAAAUACAGAAGCUGCUGUAAGAAGGCAGAAACAAAUAGAGACACAUCUAGGCAAUUCAUCACAGUAUUUAAAGAAUUCCAGGCAAUCUCUGCAGAUACGAUAGUGGAGGGGAUAGUUCAAAACUUGGACAGCGAAAGAAAUAACUCUCCGAGACAGCUUUGGAAUUAUGCCCUCUGUGCCCAGCCGAAUUCUGGGUUAGCAUGGUGGAUAUGGUGCUUCCUAGAAGUCAAUUAUUUCACUGUCCAACUAAAGUUAAAAAAA
Molecule: long non-coding RNA, 1474 nt
Organism: Eubalaena glacialis (North Atlantic right whale)
Lineage: Eukaryota; Metazoa; Chordata; Mammalia; Artiodactyla; Balaenidae
Exons: 5
Source: RefSeq, a predicted model, not a curated record